CCUACGGGAGGCAGCAGUGGGGAAUUUUGGACAAUGGGCGCAAGCCUGAUCCAGCCAUGCCGCGUGUGUGAAGAAGGCCUUUUGGUUGUAAAGCACUUUAAGCGAGGAGGAGGCUACUAGUAUUAAUACUACUGGAUAGUGGACGUUACUCGCAGAAUAAGCACCGGCUAACUCUGUGCCAGCAGCCGCGGUAAUACAGAGGGUGCGAGCGUUAAUCGGAUUUACUGGGCGUAAAGCGUGCGUAGGCGGCUGAUUAAGUCGGAUGUGAAAUCCCUGAGCUUAACUUAGGAAUUGCAUUCGAUACUGGUCAGCUAGAGUAUGGGAGAGGAUGGUAGAAUUCCAGGUGUAGCGGUGAAAUGCGUAGAGAUCUGGAGGAAUACCGAUGGCGAAGGCAGCCAUCUGGCCUAAUACUGACGCUGAGGUACGAAAGCAUGGGGAGCAAACAGGAUUAGAUACCUUGGUAGUCCAUGCCGUAAACGAUGUCUACUAGCCGUUGGGGUCUUUGAGACUUUAGUGGCGCAGCUAACGCGAUAAGUAGACCGCCUGGGGAGUACGGUCGCAAGCUAAAACUCAAAGGAAUUGACGG
Molecule: ribosomal RNA, 586 nt
Filed under: uncultured bacterium
Lineage: Bacteria
Description: bacterial SSU rRNA
Rfam family: Bacterial small subunit ribosomal RNA
Source: RNAcentral